Suncus etruscus (white-toothed pygmy shrew) is the source of this 105-nucleotide small nuclear RNA. NCBI's taxonomy places the organism in Eukaryota, Metazoa, Chordata, Mammalia, Eulipotyphla, Soricidae. The record is from RefSeq and is a predicted model, not a curated record.
GUUCUCUUCGGCAGUACAUAUACUAAAAUUGGAACGAUACAGAGAAAAUUAGCAUGGCUCCUUCACAAGGAUGAUGCACAAAUUUGUGAAGCAUUUCAUAUGUUA